CCUACGGGAGGCAGCAGUGAGGAAUAUUGGUCAAUGGGCGAGAGUCUGAACCAGCCAAGUAGCGUGAAGGAUGACUGCCCUAUGGGUUGUAAACUUCUUUUAUAAAGGAAUAAAAUGUUCCACGUGUGGGUUUUUGUAUGUACUUUAUGAAUAAGGAUCGGCUAACUCCGUGCCAGCAGCCGCGGUAAUACGGAGGAUCCGAGCGUUAUCCGGAUUUAUUGGGUUUAAAGGGAGCGUAGGUGGAUUGUUAAGUCAGUUGUGAAAGUUUGCGGCUCAACCGUAAAAUUGCAGUUGAUACUGGCAGUCUUGAGUACAGUAGAGGUGGGCGGAAUUCGUGGUGUAGCGGUGAAAUGCUUAGAUAUCACGAAGAACUCCGAUUGCGAAGGCAGCUCACUGGACUGCAACUGACACUGAGGCUCGAAAGUGUGGGUAUCAAACAGGAGUAGAUACCCCUGUAGUC
Molecule: ribosomal RNA, 460 nt
Filed under: uncultured bacterium
Lineage: Bacteria
Description: partial 16S ribosomal RNA
Rfam family: Bacterial small subunit ribosomal RNA
Source: RNAcentral